RNAcentral lists this non-coding RNA (36 nucleotides) under Glaesserella parasuis SH0165. Lineage: Bacteria; Pseudomonadati; Pseudomonadota; Gammaproteobacteria; Pasteurellales; Pasteurellaceae. The record is from RNAcentral.
GUUGUAGCUCCCUUUCUCAUUUUGUGGAGCUACAAU